GAGUUUGAUCCUGGCUCAGGACGAACGCUGGCGGCGUGCCUAAUACAUGCAAGUCGAACGAACACCUUCGGGUGUUAGUGGCGAACGGGUGAGUAACACGUAAGUAACCAACCUAUAAGACGAGGAUAACUACUGGAAACGGUAGCUAAUACUGGAUAGGAUAUGAGACCGAUGGUUUUAUAUUUAAAGAUGCGUUUGCAUCACUUAUAGAUGGGCUUGCGGCGCAUUAGCUAGUUGGUAGGGUAAAAGCCUACCAAGGCGACGAUGCGUAGCCGACCUGAGAGGGUGAACGGCCACACUGGGACUGAGACACGGCCCAGACUCCUACGGGAGGCAGCAGUAGGGAAUCUUCGGCAAUGGACGAAAGUCUGACCGAGCAACGCCGCGUGAGUGAAGAAGGUCUUCGGAUUGUAAAACUCUGUUAUUAGGGAAGAACGGAUGUAGGAGGAAAUGCCUAUAUUGUGACGGUACCUAAUGAGAAAGCCACGGCUAACUACGUGCCAGCAGCCGCGGUAAUACGUAGGUGGCAAGCGUUGUCCGGAAUUAUUGGGCGUAAAGAGUGCGUAGGCGGUCAAUUAAGUCUCAUUUGAAAGCCCAUGGCUUAACCAUGGAGAGUGAUGGGAAACUGGUUGACUUGAGUACAGGAGAGGAAGGUGGAAUUUCACGUGUAGCGGUGAAAUGCGUAGAUAUGUGAAGGAACACCGGUGGCGAAGGCGGCCUUCUGGCCUGAAUCUGACGCUGAUGCACGAAAGCGUGGGUAGCAAACAGGAUUAGAUACCCUGGUAGUCCACGCCGUANACGAUGAGUACUAAGUGUUGGGGGAAACCUCGGUGCUGAAGUUAACGCAUUAAGUACUCCGCCUGGGAAGUACGGUCGCAAGACUGNAAC
This 888-nucleotide ribosomal RNA is filed under the name bacterium enrichment culture clone PCP6. RNAcentral's name for it is "bacterial SSU rRNA". It matches the Rfam family "Bacterial small subunit ribosomal RNA", at positions 9 to 900 of the family's 1533-position model. The record is from RNAcentral.